This 74-nucleotide transfer RNA is filed under the name Deltaproteobacteria bacterium. RNAcentral describes it as "tRNA-Asn". It matches the Rfam family "tRNA". Rfam says of the family: Transfer RNA (tRNA) molecules are approximately 80 nucleotides in length. Lineage: Bacteria; Pseudomonadati; Myxococcota; Myxococcia. The record is from RNAcentral.
GGGGUUGUAGCUCAAUGGAAGAGCGCCCGGCCGUUAACCGGACGACGAAGGUUCGAUUCCUUCCUACCCCGCCA